UGGGGAAUAUUGCACAAUGGUGGAAACCCUGAUGCAGCGAUGCCGCGUGAGCGAAGAAGGCCUUCGGGUCGUAAAGCUCUUUUAUGAGGGAAGAUAAUGACGGUACCUCAAUAAAAAGCCUCGGCUAAUUACGUGCCAGCAGCCGCGGUAAUACGUAGGGGGCUAGCGUUGUCCGGAAUCACUGGGCGUAAAGGGUUCGCAGGCGGAAUAACAAGUCAGAUGUGAAAGGCAUGGGCUCAACCCAUGUAAGCAUUUGAAACUGUAAUUCUUGAGAAGUGGAGAGGUAAGUGGAAUUCCUAGUGUAGCGGUGAAAUGCGUAGAUAUUAGGAGGAAUACCUGUGGCGAAGGCGACUUUCUGGCCAUAUACAGACGCUGAGGUACGAAAGAGUGGGUAGCAAACAGG
Molecule: ribosomal RNA, 403 nt
Filed under: Verrucomicrobiota bacterium
Lineage: Bacteria; Pseudomonadati; Verrucomicrobiota
Description: Verrucomicrobia bacterium partial 16S ribosomal RNA
Rfam family: Bacterial small subunit ribosomal RNA
Source: RNAcentral